AUCACCACAGCUGCUCCCUCUCAGGAUUCUUGAGACAGGACAGAAAAUCCCUCAAAUCUACCUUCCCUUUCUUCUUCCUACAGAUCCUGAUGGAAUCAAACUUCUCAUCGUGAGCCAGCUGUUGGUGAACAUUUUGCUAACUCAUACAGACUGGUUGCUCCACCUGCAAAAUGGACCUGCCCAAACCGAGACGCACCCUGAGAUCCCACUGAGCCAUCUGCGAGAAUAUGCUGCGAAGGGCGCCGUGGUGCGUGCACAGCUCCACCUGGCCUGGACAGUCGAAGAGGAAGUAGUGGCCGCGGAGUGGGUCCAGCUUGGCCCGCAGCCAGUCCAGGUUGGCUUCCAGGUACUCCAUGCAGUAAAGCAGGCCGCCGUUGGGUCCCAGCCUCAGCUCAUCCAUCACAUCACCCAGUCCCACUAGCUCGCCCACGUCCACAGCGCACUCGUAUGGCAGCCCUUCGUUGGCCGGGUCCAAGUUCACCACCGCCACGCGCCGGCCCAGCGCGCGCAGGAACUCACUCAUGCCCAGGCAGUAAGUGGUCUUUCCUGAACCCGGAGGGCCGAUCACCGCCUGCCCGAAGGCCGUGGCCGGAGCGGCUCCCGCCAUGGCGAGAACGUGGUCCGGAAACGAACAGAUGAACCCAACGGGAAAACAGGGUGGGCACCUGUACAGGAGAUGAAACUACGGGCGGGAGACCACCGACGUGCUCUCUGCAGGGAAUGAUGACCGCAACCCAGGGAACCCGCGCCGGGAAAGGGCAGCAAAGGGGGCCGGUACUGAAGGCACCAGCUCCCGACUUCCGGGCGGCGUCGGAAGCAGCGGGGCGGGGAGAGGAAGUCCCGCCCUAAGGCAGCGGCGCUACCAAGCUGGGCGUGGCCACACAGAAGGGACUUUCGCUGUGGGAGCGUGGGUCUGUCUUGGGGACUUGGCGAGCCGGACAGCACCAGUCUCGAUCCUCUGAUUUUUCCCCAGGCCCGGAUUAGAAGAGAAAAGCGA
Molecule: non-coding RNA, 997 nt
Organism: Ictidomys tridecemlineatus (thirteen-lined ground squirrel)
Lineage: Eukaryota; Metazoa; Chordata; Mammalia; Rodentia; Sciuridae
Source: RefSeq, a predicted model, not a curated record